AAUAGUGCCACAACUGCGCAAACAAAUGGUAAUAAUGUAAAUAUAAAGGUUAAUCGAACUUUUUCAUUGGGCGUAAAUACAUACAUGGUUCGAAAGAAAGAUGAAUCGCAGAGCUUAACUUGAACUGCAUUUUUAACUACCGAGCUAGAGUGUGUCAGAGGGAGGUGGAAUUCCGCGUGUAGCAGUGAAAUGCGUAGAUAUGCGGAGGAACACCGAUGGCGAAGGCAGCCUCCUGGGAUAACACUGACGCUCAUGCACGAAAGCGUGGGGGAGCAAACAGGAUUAGAUACCCUGGUAGUCCACGCCCUAAACGAUGUCAAUCAUGCCGGGGCCUUCGGGCCUUUGGUAGCGCAGCUAACGCGUGAAGUUGACCGCCUGGGGAGUACGGUCGCAAGAUUAAAACUCAAAGGAAUUGACGGGGACUCCGCACAAGCGGUGGAUGAUGUGGAUUAACGAUAACGCGAAAAAACCUUACCUACCCUGACAUGUCUGGAAAUCCCGAAGAGAUUUGGGAGUGCUCGCAAGAGAACCGGAACACAGGUGCUGCAAGGGCUGUCGUCAGCUCGUGUCGCGAGAUGUUGGUUGGUCCCCGCAACGAGCGCAACCCUUGUCAAUAGUUGCUACGAAAGGGCGUUUCCUAAUGAGACUGUCGGUGACAAACCGGAGGAAGGUGGGGAUGACGUCAAGUCCUCAUGGCCCUGCAGGGUAGGUCGGCACGCCAUAGCAUGUUUGUCGGGACAGAGGGUCGCCAACCCGCGAGGGGGAGCUAAUCCCAGAAACCUCGAUCGUAGUCCGGAUCGCAGUCUGGGUAACUCGACUGCGUGAAGUCGGAAUCGCUAGUGCAAUCGCGGAUCAGCAUGUCGCGGUGAAUACGUUCCCGGGUCUUGUACACACCGCCCGUCACACUCAUGGGAGUGGGCUUUUACCAUAGUUAGCCUAACCGUAAGGAGGGCUAUCACUACUGUAGGAUCUAUGAUCAGUGUAGUCGUAACAAGGUAG
RNAcentral lists this ribosomal RNA (999 nucleotides) under uncultured Bordetella sp. RNAcentral describes it as "partial 16S-23S ribosomal RNA intergenic spacer". It matches the Rfam family "Bacterial small subunit ribosomal RNA". The record is from RNAcentral. Lineage: Bacteria; Pseudomonadati; Pseudomonadota; Betaproteobacteria; Burkholderiales; Alcaligenaceae.